This 1473-nucleotide ribosomal RNA is filed under the name Lysinibacillus fusiformis. RNAcentral's name for it is "bacterial SSU rRNA". It matches the Rfam family "Bacterial small subunit ribosomal RNA". The record is from RNAcentral. Lineage: Bacteria; Bacillati; Bacillota; Bacilli; Caryophanales; Bacillaceae.
GGAGCAGUGGCGGGGGUCCAUAUACGUGCAGUCGAGCGAACAGAGAAGGAGCUUGCUCCUUCGACGUUAGCGGCGGACGGGUGAGUAACACGUGGGCAACCUACCUUAUAGUUUGGGAUAACUCCGGGAAACCGGGGCUAAUACCGAAUAAUCUGUUUCACCUCAUGGUGAAACACUGAAAGACGGUUUCGGCUGUCGCUAUAGGAUGGGCCCGCGGCGCAUUAGCUAGUUGGUGAGGUAACGGCUCACCAAGGCGACUAUGCGUACCCCACCUGAGAGGGUGAUCGGCCAGGCUGGGACUGAGGCACGGCCCGCCCUCCUACGGGAGGCGGCGGCAGUGGAACUCCCACAAUGGGCGACCGCCUGAUGGGGCCACGCCGCGUGAUUUGAGAAGGAUUUCGUUCCGUAAAACUCUGUUGUAAGGGAAGAACAGUCAGAGUAGUAACUGGCCGUACCUUGACGGUACCUUAUUAGAAAGCCACGGCCAACUACGUGCCAGCGGGCGCGGGUUAAUACGUAAGUGGCAAGCGUGUGUCCGGAAUAAUUGCGGCGAAGGGCGCGCGCAGGUGGUUUCUUAGUUGUGAUUUGAAAGCCCCCGGCUCACCCGUGGAGGGUCAUUGGAAACUUGGAGACUUGAGUGCAGAAAGAGGAUAAGUGAACUCCGAGUGUAGCGGUGAAAUGGGUAGAGAUUUGGAGGACCACCAGUGGCGAAGGCGACUAUCUGGUCUGUAACUGACACUGAGGCGCGAAAGCGUGGGGAGCAAACAGGAUUAGAUACCCUGGUAGUCACGCCGUAAACGAUGAGUGCUAAGUGUAAGGGGGUUUCCGCCCCAUAGGUGGUGCAGCUAACGCAUUAAGCACUCCGGCUGGGGAGAACGGUCGCAAGACUGGAACUCAAAGGAAUUGACGGGGGCCCGCACACGCGGUGGGGCACGUUGUUGUUAAUUCGAAGCAACGCGGAGAACCUUACCGGGUCUUGAGAUCCCGUUGGCCACCGUGGAGAUAUAGUUUCCCCCUGGGGGGCAACGGUGGCAGGUUGCGCAUGGUUGUCGUCAGCUCGUGUCGUGCGAAGAUUGGUUAAGUCCCGCCACGAGCGCAACGCUUGGUCUCAUAUGCCAACAUAUAUUUGGGGCCCGUAGGGUGCGUGCCGGUGACAACCCGGAGUGGUGUGGUGAAGGCUUCCGGUCACCGUGCCCCUUAUGACCUGGGCUACACACGUGCUACAAUGGACGAUACAAACGGUUGCCAACUCGCGAGAGGGAGCUAAUCCGAUAAAGUCGUUCUCAGUUCGGAUUGUAGGCUGCAACUCGCCUACAUGAAGCCGGAAUCGCUAGUAAUCGCGGAUCAGCAUGCCGCGGUGAAUACGUUCCCGGGCCUUGUACACACCGCCCGUCACACCACGAGAGUUUGUAACACCCGAAGUCGGUGAGGUAACCUUUUGAGCCAGCCGCCGAAGGUGGAUAGAUAUUGUUG